CUGCAUAAAUGUCUUCUUUUGAGAAGUGUCUUUUCAUAUCCUUUGCCCACUUUUUGAUGGGGUUGUUUGUUUUUUUCUCGUAAAUUUGUAUGAGUUCAUUGUGGAUUCUGGAUAUUAGUCCUUUGUCAGACGAGUAGAUUGCGAACAUUUUCUCCCAUUCUGUAGGUUGCCUGUUCACUCUGAUGGUAGUUUCUUUAUUUUUAAUAACCACCUACAGUUAUUUAUUCAUUCAUUUUAGCUAUUACUAAGUUUUAGGUAUCCAGUUGAGAACAUUAUAUUUACUUUAGCAAAUAAAAUACAGGAAUUCAAAUUCUUGAAUUCCAGAUAAGCAGAAAAGAAGUUUUAGCUUACAUACAUCCUGUGCAAUAUUUGAUACCUAUAUAUAGUGACUUGAGUAAUGGCCUUGAAAGAAGAUAUGUUCAUGGUGCUAACACCUGUGAAAAUGACCUAUUUAGAAAAAGGUUUUGUAGAUGUAAUUAAGGUUCUGGAGAUGAGUCAUCUUGGAAUUAGAAAGGGCCCUAAAUGUAGUGGUGAGUGUCCUUAUAAAAAGGGAGAAGAACACACACACACACAUACACACAUGAUGUGAACAUCGAGGCAAUUCGGAGUGAAGCGUCUGCAUGCCAAGGGGCACCGAGGACUUCCAGCAGCCACUAGAAACCGGGAGGGAGGCCUGAAAUAGAUUAUCCGUCACAGGCUCAGAAGGAAGCAGACCUGCUGACAUCUUCAUUUUGGACCUGUAAAAUCCUGAACUAUGACUGGAUGCAGAAGAGAGAGAUACAAGACCACAUGAUGGAAGGGGCCAUCCUCACUGACUUCACCACCUGGAAGGAAGCUAUGGAGGAGAAUUGCCCAAACAAAUACAACUGCAUCAAAUUUUGCCUCUGUAAGAAAUAGAUCUUUGUUAUGCUACAAUAGGUCCCUGAGAUUUGGAUUUUAUUUGUUAUAGUAGCUAGCAUUAUUUUUACUUAAUAAAUGGUUCUUAAUAAAUGGUUUACUUAAUAAAUGGUUCUCACGGUUCUGUAAAGCUGCAACAUGCUUUUAAAAUGUUCAGACACAAUGAUCAAACAACAGGAAGCCAAUAAAG
RNAcentral lists this long non-coding RNA (1087 nucleotides) under Homo sapiens (human). RNAcentral describes it as "HSALNT0350455". The record is from RNAcentral. Lineage: Eukaryota; Metazoa; Chordata; Mammalia; Primates; Hominidae.